AAUUGAACGCUGGCGGCAGGCUUAACACAUGCAAGUCGAGCGGGGAAGGGUAGCUUGCUACCUGACCUAGCGGCGGACGGGUGAGUAAUGCUUAGGAAUCUGCCUAUUAGGGGGGGACAACAUUCCGAAAGGAAUGCUAAUACCGCAUACGCCCUACGGGGGAAAGCAGGGGAUCUUCGGACCUUGCGCUAAUAGAUGAGCCUAAGUCAAAUUAGCUAGUUGGGGGGGUAAAGGCCUACCAAGGCGACAAUCUGUAGCGGGUCUGAAAGGAUGAUCCGCCACACUGGGACUGAAACACGGCCCAAACUCCUACGGGAGGCAGCAGGGGGGAAUAUUGAACAAUGGGCGCAAGCCUGAUCCAGCCAUGCCGCGUGUGUGAAAAAGGCCUUUUGGUUGUAAAGCACUUUAAGCGAGGAGGAGGCUACUUGGAUUAAUACUCUAGGAUAGGGGACGUUACUCGCAAAAUAAGCACCGGCUAACUCUGUG
RNAcentral lists this ribosomal RNA (486 nucleotides) under uncultured bacterium. RNAcentral describes it as "partial 16S ribosomal RNA". It matches the Rfam family "Bacterial small subunit ribosomal RNA", at positions 30 to 507 of the family's 1533-position model. The record is from RNAcentral.